RNAcentral lists this ribosomal RNA (477 nucleotides) under Veillonella parvula. RNAcentral describes it as "bacterial SSU rRNA". It matches the Rfam family "Bacterial small subunit ribosomal RNA", at positions 28 to 474 of the family's 1533-position model. The record is from RNAcentral. Lineage: Bacteria; Bacillati; Bacillota; Negativicutes; Veillonellales; Veillonellaceae.
GACGAACGCUGGCGGCGUGCUUAACACAUGCAAGUCGAACGAAGAGCGAUGGAAGCUUGCUUCUAUCAAUCUUAGUGGCGAACGGGUGAGUAACGCGUAAUCAACCUGCCCUUCAGAGGGGGACAACAGUUGGAAACGACUGCUAAUACCGCAUACGAUUCAACCUUGGCAUCGAGGAUGAAUGAAAGGUGGCCUCUAUAUAUAAGCUAUCACUGAAGGAGGGGAUUGCGUCUGAUUAGCUAGUUGGAGGGGUAACGGCCCACCAAGGCGAUGAUCAGUAGCCGGUCUGAGAGGAUGAACGGCCACAUUGGGACUGAGACACGGCCCAGACUCCUACGGGAGGCAGCAGUGGGGAAUCUUCCGCAAUGGACGAAAGUCUGACGGAGCAACGCCGCGUGAGUGAUGACGGCCUUCGGGUUGUAAAGCUCUGUUAAUCGGGACGAAAGGUCUUCUUGCGAAUAGUUAGAAGAAUUGACG